RNAcentral lists this ribosomal RNA (253 nucleotides) under uncultured bacterium. RNAcentral's name for it is "partial 16S ribosomal RNA". It matches the Rfam family "Bacterial small subunit ribosomal RNA", at positions 524 to 776 of the family's 1533-position model. The record is from RNAcentral.
UACGGAGGGGGCGAGCGUUAUUCGGAAUUAUUGGGCGUAAAGGGCGCGUAGGCGGCUUCAUAAGUCAAAGGUGAAAUCCCUCGGCUCAACUGAGGAACUGCCUUUGAAACUGUGGAGCUUGAGGCCGGGAGGGGGUAGCGGAAUUCCCAGUGUAGCGGUGAAAUGCGUAGAUAUUGGGAGGAACACCAGUGGCGAAGGCGGCUACCUGGACCGGAACUGACGCUGAUGCGCGAAAGCGUGGGGAGCGAACAGG